GACGAACGCUGGCGGCGUGCUUAACACAUGCAAGUCGAACGGAAAGGCCCUGCUUUUGUGGGGUGCUCGAGUGGCGAACGGGUGAGUAACACGUGAGUAACCUGCCCUUGACUUUGGGAUAACUUCAGGAAACUGGGGCUAAUACCGGAUAGGAGCUCCUGCUGCAUGGUGGGGGUUGGAAAGUUUCGGCGGUUGGGGAUGGACACGCGGCUUAUCAGCUUGUUGGUGGGGUAGUGGCUUACCAAGGCUUUGACGGGUAGCCGGCCUGAGAGGGUGACCGGCCACAUUGGGACUGAGAUACGGCCCGGACUCCUACGGGAGGCAGCAGUGGGGAAUAUUGCACAAUGGGCGGAAGCCUGAUGCAGCAACGCCGCGUGCGGGAUGACGGCCUUCGGGUUGUAACCCGCUUUCGCCUGUGACGAAGCGUGAGUGACGGUAAUGGGUAAAGAAGCACCGGCUAACUACGUG
This 468-nucleotide ribosomal RNA is filed under the name uncultured bacterium. RNAcentral describes it as "partial 16S ribosomal RNA". It matches the Rfam family "Bacterial small subunit ribosomal RNA", at positions 28 to 507 of the family's 1533-position model. The record is from RNAcentral.